GUCUCAGUAGCAUAGUGGGUAAUGCACAGGCUCUGUUAGGCGCCAGACGCGGGCUCGAAUCCCGCCUGAGGUG
This 73-nucleotide transfer RNA is filed under the name Nippostrongylus brasiliensis. It matches the Rfam family "tRNA". Rfam says of the family: Transfer RNA (tRNA) molecules are approximately 80 nucleotides in length. Their secondary structure includes four short double-helical elements and three loops (D, anti-codon, and T loops). Further hydrogen bonds mediate the characteristic L-shaped molecular structure. tRNAs have two regions of fundamental functional importance: the anti-codon, which is responsible for specific mRNA codon recognition, and the 3' end, to which the tRNAs corresponding amino acid is attached (by aminoacyl-tRNA synthetases). tRNAs cope with the degeneracy of the genetic code in two manners: having more than one tRNA (with a specific anti-codon) for a particular amino acid; and 'wobble' base-pairing, i.e. permitting non-standard base-pairing at the 3rd anti-codon position. The record is from Rfam by way of RNAcentral. Lineage: Eukaryota; Metazoa; Nematoda; Chromadorea; Rhabditida; Heligmosomidae.